Long non-coding RNA from Oncorhynchus keta (chum salmon), 1862 nucleotides. RefSeq lists it as uncharacterized. The record is from RefSeq and is a predicted model, not a curated record. Lineage: Eukaryota; Metazoa; Chordata; Actinopteri; Salmoniformes; Salmonidae. The transcript is spliced from 4 exons.
CCCCGUUCAAAGGAACUUAAAUAUUUUGUCUUGCUCAUUCACCCUCUGAAAUGCACAAAUACCAUCCAUGUCUCAAUUGUCUCAAAAUCCUCCUUUAACCUGUCUCCUCCCCUUCAUCGAGACGUGGAUAUCACAAUAAGGUUAUUACACAACAGACUAGAUAUCACAAUAAGGUUAUUACACAACAGACUAGAUAUCACAAUAAGGUUAUUACACAACAGACCUAGAUAUCACAAUAAGGUUAUUACACAACAGAGACCUAGAUAUCACAAUAAGGUUAUUACACAACAGAGACCUAGAUAUCACAAUAAGGUUAUUACACAACAGACCUAGAUAUCACAAUAAGGUUAUUACACAACAGACUAGAUAUCACAAUAAGGUUAUUACACAACAGACCUAGAUAUCACAAUAAGGUUAUUACACAACAGACCUAGAUAUCACAAUAAGGUUAUUACACAACAGACCAGAUAUCACAAUAAGGUUAUUACACAACAGACCUAGAUAUCACAAUAAGGUUAUUACACAACAGAGACCUAGAUAUCACAAUAAGGUUAUUACACAACAGACCUAGAUAUCACAAUAAGGUUAUUACACAACAGACCUAGAUAUCACAAUAAGGUUAUUACACAACAGACCUAGAUAUCACAAUAAGGUUAUUACACAACAGAGACCUAGAUAUCACAAUAAGGUUAUUACACAACAGACUAGAUAUCACAAUAAGGUUAUUACACAACAGACUAGAUAUCACAAUAAGGUUAUUACACAACAUACUAGAUAUCACAAUAAGGUUAUUACACAACAUACUAGAUAUCACAAUAAGGUUAUUACACAACAGACUAGAUAUCACAAUAAGGUUAUUACACAACAGAGACCUAGAUAUCACAAUAAGGUUAUUACACAACAGAGACCUAGAUAUCACAAUAAGGUUAUUACACAACAGAGACCUAGAUAUCACAAUAAGGUUAUUACACAACAGACCUAGAUAUCACAAUAAGGUUAUUACACAACAGAGACGUGGAUAUCACAAUAAGGUUAUUACACAACAGACCUAGAUAUCACAAUAAGGUUAUUACACAACAGAGACGUGGAUAUCACAAUAAGGUUAUUACACAACAGAGACGUGGAUAUCACAAUAAGGUUAUUACACAACAGAGACGUGGAUAUCACAAUAAGGUUAUUACACAACAGACCUAGAUAUCACAAUAAGGUUAUUACACAACAGACCUAGAUAUCACAAUAAGGUUAUUACACAACAGACCGAGAUAUCACAAUAAGGUUAUUACACAACAGAGACGUGGAUAUCACAAUAAGGUUAUUACACAACAGAGACCUAGAUAUCACAAUAAGGUUAUUACACAACAGAGACGUGGAUAUCAUAAUAAGGUUAUUACACAACAGACCUAGAUAUCACAAUAAGGUUAUUACACAACACACCUAGAUAUCACAAUAAGGUUAUUACACAACAGACUAGAUAUCACAAUAAGGUUAUUACACAACAGACCUAGAUAUCACAAUAAGGUUAUUACACAACAGACUAGAUAUCACAAUAAGGUUAUUACACAACAGACCUAGAUAUCACAAUAAGGUUAUUACACAACAGAGACCUAGAUAUCACAAUAAGGUUAUUACACAACAGAGACCUAGAUAUCACAAUAAGGUUAUUACACAACAGACCUAGAUAUCACAAUAAGGUUAUUACACAACAGACUAGAUAUCACAAUAAGGUUAUUACACAACAGACCUAGAUAUCACAAUAAGGUUAUUACACAACAGACCUAGAUAUCACAAUAAGGUUAUUACACAACAGAGACCUAGAUAUCACAAUAAGGUUAUUACACAACAGAGACCUAGAUAUCACAAUA